Molecule: ribosomal RNA, 468 nt
Filed under: uncultured bacterium
Lineage: Bacteria
Description: partial 16S ribosomal RNA
Rfam family: Bacterial small subunit ribosomal RNA
Source: RNAcentral
GACGAACGCUGGCGGCGUGCUUAACACAUGCGCGUCGAACGGAAAGGCCCUGCUUUUGUGGGGUGCUCGAGUGGCGAACGGGUGAGUAACACGUGAGUAACCUGCCCUUGACUUUGGGAUAACUUCAGGAAACUGGGGCUAAUACCGGAUAGGAGCUCCUGCUGCAUGGUGGGGGUUGGAAAGUUUCGGCGGUUGGGGAUGGACUCGCGGCUUAUCAGCUUGUUGGUGGGGUAGUGGCUUACCAAGGCUUUGACGGGUAGCCGGCCUGAGAGGGUGACCGGCCACAUUGGGACUGAGAUACGGCCCAGACUCCUACGGGAGGCAGCAGUGGGGAAUAUUGCACAAUGGGCGGAAGCCUGAUGCAGCAACGCCGCGUGCGGGAUGACGGCCUUCGGGUUGUAAACCGCUUUCGCCUGUGACGAAGCGUGAGUGACGGUAAUGGGUAAAGAAGCACCGGCUAACUACGUG